GGAAGUUGAUUGUUUUAAAAUUAAAAAUCAAAAGUGUUCGCCUGUUUUAACAAGAACACAAUCACAAUGAAAAUCAGGAAGAAUUCAUUGACGACAAGGAAAAGAAUGAAUUAUUUUGCUGAGGCCUGACCAAUCGGUAACGUCAGAACUCAAGAUUUCAGUUUGUAUUUCUGAAAAAUGUCUAGACCCUGUCAAAAACUGUAUAAUAACAUGAAAAAAUCAAAAGAUUUUUGUAUUUAUCAACAUGUGUUUUACUUCACUUCAUGACAUAUAUAGUUAAAGAGCUAAUUCUCGGGAAAGCGGAAACCUCUAAUCCUACACGUAGUAACAUGUAGGAAGACGGCAAUUUGAAAAUAAAAUUUAAACUUUGAACUGUGUCAUUAUUUCACAUUAUCAAAACGGAAAAUAUGUAUCAACAAUAGUUCAGUUCAGUUUCUUGUAUGUUUCUCCAAUAAUUGUGGAGCACUACCCAAAGGGUAUAGUUUUAUAUAUCAAUGAAAGAAAAAUCUAUGCAUUGCAUUGGUGAUUGGCGAUGCGAUUAUUUUAAAAUUUAAAAUCAAAAGUUUUCGCCUGUUUUAAGAAAUGUCUGUUUGUCUUAUUAUUUUAAGCCCUGGC
Molecule: long non-coding RNA, 615 nt
Filed under: Mytilus galloprovincialis (Mediterranean mussel)
Lineage: Eukaryota; Metazoa; Mollusca; Bivalvia; Mytilida; Mytilidae
Source: RNAcentral